This 2218-nucleotide long non-coding RNA is filed under the name Podarcis lilfordi (Lilford's wall lizard). Lineage: Eukaryota; Metazoa; Chordata; Lepidosauria; Squamata; Lacertidae. The record is from RNAcentral.
UUAACACUUUUAUUUUAUUUUAUUGUAUUGCUCUUUAUUUUAAUAUUUUAAUUUUUGUUCUUUAUUUUUUACUUUUUUAUUUUGUGCACAUUUGUGCUUUUUUGUAUAUACUUUGUAUAUAUCUAUUUUGUACAUAGCGGAGUAGUUAGGGUUAAGUGCAGGGUUAGGGCGGAGGUUAGGCUUAGGGUUGGGGUCAGAGUUAGGCUUGGGUGGACAUUUUAGCUAGUUAGCUAGUUUAGAGAGGAGGGUGGGAAUUUUUCCUGGAAGAAAUGGGCAGGCUGUAAGUAGGAUUCCUUCCCUUUCUCUUGGUCUCCUGGGGGGCGGUGGGUGGAGUCCUGGGGUCCCCUGCACAGCCUUGACUCUCUGGAAAUCGACCCGGCCAGUCUUCUCCAGAGAGCUCAGCUCCUCCACACACUUUCCCUGCCUUGCCCCUUUCUCUCCCCUCUCAUCAUUUACAUUUAUUUUGCAUCUCUCCCACUGCCCAAUGCCACCGGCCUUCUCCCCCUUCCUGGGGGUCUCUCUGGCUCCAAGGAAUACUCCACCACCUUUCUCAUGUUCUGCUUCUCUUCUGGGACACCUUGAUGCUUGGAGGACCCUUCUAGGGGUUUUGGGGGGGGGGAGCUCCGGGUGGGGAAGAGCAGGCAGGAGGGAGAAGGGGGCAAGGUAGACAUGGAGGAGGCAGCGUCUAACGCCUUCAUCUCUGCAGCACGAUGAGGCCCAAAUUCAGCUGUGAUAUGAUCAGUGCGAUCCUGAACAGGAAAUUGGAGGCUGUGCUGAAAGGGGCCAAGAAGGAGGAAGACAGAGAAGUAUGUCCUUUGUUUUGACUUCCCUUCGCAGACUCUUUCUUCUUCUUCAUCACACACUUGGAGAAUCCAACCCAGCAUUCAAACUCUCUUCUCUCUUUUCCUGCAGGAACUGAAGCGGCACUUCUGGCUCCUGCUGGGCAGUCUCCUUAUGGAAGCCCCCAAUCCUGGCACUCUCCUCCAGCUUCUCAGUGUAAGUGUCCCGAUGGCAUCAGGAGAGGUUUGGGCCCCCAUUAGAGAGCCAGUGUGGUGUAGUGGUUAAGAGCGGUGGACUCGUAAUCUGGUGAAAGGGGUUCGCGUCUCCGCUCCUCCACAUGCAGCUGCUGGGUGACCUUGGGCUAGUCACACUUCUCUGAAGUCUCUCAGCCCCACUCACCUCACAGAGUGUUUGUUGUGGGGGAAGAAGGGAAAGGAGAAUGCUAGCCGCUUUGAGACUCCUUCGGGUAGUGAUAAAGCGGGAUAUCAAAUCCAGACUCUUCUUCUUCCCAUCCCUUACCUAAUGGACUGUCCUAUUUCUGGAGCAUGGAGUCCCCUGUCCUGUUUGGCCCCCCAUUUGUCCCAUUUUUGAAGUCAUCAGAAUAGAAACUGGCACUUAUACAGUCACCGCUACUUGCUGGGUGCUUAGACACUUGAGUCUGCCCUGCCGCUUUGGCCCAGACUGGCCCCUGACUCUGCGACGCUCUUUCCUUGCACAGGACCUCCGAGGAUACACCCUUGGGGAAAGUGGGGAGCCUAAAAACCUGGUGGCCAGCAGCAUCUCUUCACUGCUGGCCUUUGCCCGAAGGUUCCCCCAUCUCAGAGUAAGUAGCUCUCCUUCAUAGAUUCAGUCCUUUGAAUCCUUCCAUAUCCCCAAGAGGCUCCCAAGGCUGCUCAUCCUCUGUAGUUGACAACACACCUAACUGAAAAAAACGGCUUACUCUUCUGAUGACAUCAGAGAAUUCUAGACUCUAGGAAUGUUGAGGGUGGCAGGAGAGGACAGAGUGCAUUCCCCUUUACACAGCAGAAAACUAGUUGCAAACUCGUGUGAGUUUCUUAAGAUAAUACACAAUUCAAUCUGGCUUGUCCAGGUUGAAAUGUGUUCUAAUAUUUUCCUGGUAAGACCCCUUGAAUCCCUCCUAAAAGAAUAAAGACACCACAGUCUUAUUCAUAAGCAAUAAACAGAAAGUUGACUCACGAUCAGGGAGAGCACAGUGUGAUCCCUGAAGGCAGGCUUUAGGCUUAAAGUUACAAACAUAAAAAAACAGGUUUACCCCAUAAGGGAGAUGACCUGGCAACCAGCAGUUCAUUCCAGGAAGUUCGCAGGACGAAAGGAAGAUGGAAAAGAGAGAGAGUGGCAGCACACCUUGGCCUUUUACCAGGUCUGGAAAGGUCACACACGCCUACUAGUCGCAUGCAAGAGGAAGGAUGCUCCAGGC